This 72-nucleotide transfer RNA is filed under the name Cylix sp. z GS-2022. RNAcentral describes it as "tRNA-Val". It matches the Rfam family "tRNA". Rfam says of the family: Transfer RNA (tRNA) molecules are approximately 80 nucleotides in length. Lineage: Eukaryota; Metazoa; Chordata; Actinopteri; Syngnathiformes; Syngnathidae. The record is from RNAcentral.
CAAAGCAUAGCUAAACUAGUAAAGCACCUCACUUACACCGAGAAGACAUCCGUGCAAAUCGGAUUGCUUUGA